Molecule: ribosomal RNA, 425 nt
Filed under: uncultured bacterium
Lineage: Bacteria
Description: bacterial SSU rRNA
Rfam family: Bacterial small subunit ribosomal RNA
Source: RNAcentral
UAGGGAAUUUUCCACAAUGGACGAAAGUCUGAUGGAGCAACGCCGCGUGCAGGAUGAAUGUCUUCGGAUUGUAAACUGCUUUUCUCUGUGACGAAUAUGACGGUAACAGAGGAAUAAGGACCUGCUAACUACGUGCCAGCAGCCGCGGUCAUACGUAGGGUCCAAGCGUUAUCCGGAAUUACUGGGCGUAAAGAGUUGCGUAGGUGGCAUUGUAAGCGAGUAGUGAAAGCGUUCGGCUUAACCGGAUACACAUUACUCGAACUGCAAAGCUAGAGGACGAGAGAGGUUAUUGGAAUUCCCAGUGUAGGAGUGAAAUCCGUAGAUAUUGGGAGGAACACCGAUGGCGUAGGCAGAUAACUGGCUCGUUCCUGACACUAAGGCACGAAAGCGUGGGGAGCAAACGGGAUUAGAUACCCCCGUAGUCC